Molecule: long non-coding RNA, 779 nt
Organism: Lathyrus oleraceus (garden pea)
Lineage: Eukaryota; Viridiplantae; Streptophyta; Magnoliopsida; Fabales; Fabaceae
Exons: 4
Source: RefSeq, a predicted model, not a curated record
UGUUGUUCUUACUUUUCUUCAGUAAAGGUAAUCGCUUCAGUAAACUCACGCUUCAGCUUCAGUUUUCUCUCAAACUCUUGCUUCCAGAAAUCCCUAAGGUAAUCGCUUCCAGAAAUCAAUUCGUUUCCAGAAAUCGCUAGGGUAAUGUUCUUGAUUUUGAGUUUUGUUCCCACCCUUUCCAGAAAUCACUCGUACUCACCGUUUCUCAUUGUUUCCCACAAUCACUUCCAGAAAUCACUCCCCAAAAUCGCUUCUAGAAAUUGCUUUUCAUCGUUUCUCAUUAAAGAGUUUAAGAAAUGCUUCUUCUUCUCAUCGCUUCAAGGGUUCGAUUGACAUUCUCUUCAUCAAAGAAAUCUAUUUUUAGUUCACAAUUUUCUCUUCUCUCGUAUUUGUACCUUUUAUUUCAUGAAAUAGUGGCUCGACCAACUUUGUGGUUGUUUGGUGAUCAAAAAGUUAGAGUGUUCUAUGCUGUGAGAUUUUUUGUUGGUUUUCUCUCGCUUUCCACGUAGACUGUUCUUGUGGUAGCUCUUUCGAGAAAGUAUGGAAAACGACUUGCUUCUUAUACACUUGCUAUGCCGUGCUUAACCAACGACUAUUUCUUUGCUAGCACAAGUUUCUUGUCAAGUUCGUUUCCCAUGUAUGCAAUCUCUCUUGCUUCGGGUUUAUUUCUUCUUGAUAAACAUGCUGCAGCAGUUGUUGUCUCUGCUAUUGGUGUGAUACAUGGCUGGCCAUUCUCAAUCUUGGCUUUCCUUCCGGUGACACUUCAUUCUUUAUAUAUA